UGAAAGCCUGGGGUGCCCCGCGAGGGGAGCCCUAGCACAGGUGCUGCAUGGCCGUCGUCAGCUCGUGCCGUGAGGUGUUCGGGUUAAGUCCCGCAACGAGCGCAACCCCCGCCGUUAGUUGCCAGCGGUUCGGCCGGGCACUCUAACGGGACUGCCCGCGAAAAGCGGGAGGAAGGAGGGGACGACGUCUGGUCAGCAUGGCCCUUACGGCCCUGGGCGACACACGUGCUACAAUGCCCACUACAAAGCGAUGCCACCCGGCAACGGGAGCUAAUCGCAAAAAGGUGGGCCCAGUUCGGAUUGGGGUCUGCAACCCGACCCCAUGAAGCCGGAAUCGCUAGUAAUCGCGGAUCAGCCAUGCCGCGGUGAAUACGUUCCCGGGCCUU
This 386-nucleotide ribosomal RNA is filed under the name uncultured Thermus sp. RNAcentral describes it as "bacterial SSU rRNA". It matches the Rfam family "Bacterial small subunit ribosomal RNA", at positions 1002 to 1382 of the family's 1533-position model. Lineage: Bacteria; Thermotogati; Deinococcota; Deinococci; Thermales; Thermaceae. The record is from RNAcentral.